This 253-nucleotide ribosomal RNA is filed under the name uncultured bacterium. Its description in RNAcentral is "partial 16S ribosomal RNA". It matches the Rfam family "Bacterial small subunit ribosomal RNA", at positions 524 to 776 of the family's 1533-position model. The record is from RNAcentral.
UACGGAGGGUGCAAGCGUUAUCCGGAUUCACUGGGUUUAAAGGGUGCGUAGGCGGGCAGGUAAGUCCGUGGUGAAAUCUCUGAGCUUAACUCAGAAACUGCCAUGGAUACUAUUUGUCUUGAAUGUUGUGGAGGUAAGCGGAAUAUGUCAUGUAGCGGUGAAAUGCUUAGAUAUGACAUAGAACACCAAUUGCGAAGGCAGCUUACUGGACAAAUAUUGACGCUGAGGCACGAAAGCGUGGGGAUCAAACAGG